Molecule: transfer-messenger RNA, 357 nt
Filed under: Deltaproteobacteria bacterium
Lineage: Bacteria; Pseudomonadati; Myxococcota; Myxococcia
Also listed under: 1 other name
Rfam family: transfer-messenger RNA
About the family: Bacterial tmRNA, also known as 10Sa RNA or SsrA, is named for its dual tRNA and mRNA-like properties. Its role is to liberate the mRNA from a stalled ribosome.
Source: RNAcentral
GGGGGCGAUCGGCUUCGACGGGGGCUGGAAAAUCAAGGUUGCGAUGUCGGGGUUCUGACUACCCGUAAAAUUGGCAGACUGCAAAUUUAGCUGCAGACAACGCUGAAUACGCCCUCGCUGCCUAAUACGCAGUGAGCGUUCUACCUGUCCGUGCCCGUAGGGCAGACUAGAACGUCACAAAUCGGGAUAGGAUUCACGUUGCGCCACAGGGCGUUGAUCCGAAACUUUACUGCGGCUGGUCCUGGGGCAUCCUGCUCAUGGGAGAUUUCAGGGCAAGAUUAAAAUGUGAGCUACGCAUUGUAGACGCCUUCGGUGGACCACUCUCGGACGGGGGUUCAAUUCCCCCCGCCUCCAUCC